CAAUAUUCAUCCAAUCACUGCAAAUUACUUAUACGCAUAUCGCUUGGCAAUGCAAAAGAGUGAUUACACUUGACAGUGAGUCAAAGUGUGCCAUUUAUGAGAUCAUUAAGUAUUCCAUCGUAGCUUUAUUUUCGAGCUGAUAAGACAUUGGAGCCAGAGCCUGUAUCCAACUUCCAACUAUCCAUUACUCCAUUCCCAGUCAGUUCUUUCGCAAUGAUGAAUCCAAUUAUGUACUUAACAAUUGUGGCGUCAGCUUCACUGAUUUCCGUGAUUCUGGGAUCACCGGUGACUAGCGAUCCACUCAAUAUACCAUCAGUUUCCACCGACGCAGCUGGCACGGUCUCUCAUAAAACAUUUGUGUUGCCAUCAGGUCGACCAGCAUCAAAAAUCCCGUCUGCAAAACCAUCAACAAUCACGCCUGAGCCAUUAUCAACAUCAGCAUCAGCAGCAAAAUCCACAACAACAUCUUCAACAACAUCGUCGUCAAACGCUGUACCUACUGCGAACUAUGGAGAUUCUUUAGAUGUCAUAUCCGAUAUUUCAGCAAGCUCGACAACUGUAAUACUAUCGCCAAUCGCUGAGUUACUGCUUCAUAUCAUUAUGCCCCUUAUUCUUCACGUUCAAUUUUUACUUCUGAGCUUUGUCGAUUCUAUAAAUUAUUCUUAACAAGGGUGGUGAACGCAGAGACGAAAAAUAUCUAUUGGUACUAAUUUGUUUAAACACGUAAUUUAAUAGUACUUUAUAUUGAUAGAAUGACUUAUUUAUUCGAAAGGCGAUUCGUUAACUCUUAACGAAUGAAUGUACGUUGAAACCAAGAGAUUCCAUUCGUUAAUAAUAAUAUCCGUUUUAUUAGUGAACAAAUGUUAAAUUUAAAACGUGAUUCAUCGAUGGCAAAAGGAAGGUGUGUAGACGAAUGUUCUUGUACAGAAAAUUACGAGGUGAUUUAAAUUCACAGUUUGAUGAUCUAUGUAAUUAGUUAUUGAAAAGUUGCGAAUCGUAACGAGUUCCACGGAAAUUCUUGUAUUUACAAUAAAUCUUCUCAGAAACUU
Molecule: long non-coding RNA, 1049 nt
Organism: Diachasmimorpha longicaudata
Lineage: Eukaryota; Metazoa; Arthropoda; Insecta; Hymenoptera; Braconidae
Exons: 2
Source: RefSeq, a predicted model, not a curated record